This 505-nucleotide ribosomal RNA is filed under the name uncultured bacterium. RNAcentral's name for it is "partial 16S ribosomal RNA". It matches the Rfam family "Bacterial small subunit ribosomal RNA", at positions 28 to 507 of the family's 1533-position model. The record is from RNAcentral.
GACGAACGCUGGUGGCGUGCCUAAUACAUGCAAGUAGAACGCACAGUUUAUACCGUAGCUUGCUACACCAUAGACUGUGAGUUGCGAACGGGUGAGUAACGCGUAGGUAACCUGCCUGGUAGCGGUUGGUAACUAUUGGAAACGAUAGCUAAUACCGCAUAAUCUUGAUUAUUGCAUGAUAAUUGAUUGAAAGAUGCUAUUUCAUCACUACCAGAUGGCCCUGCUGUGUAUUAGCUAGUAGGUGAGGUAACGGCUCACCUAGGCGACGAUACAUAGCCGACCUGAGAGGGUGAUCAGCCAACAUGGGACUGAGACACGGCCCAGACCCCCACGGGAGGCAGCAGUAGGGAAUCUUCGGGAAUGGACGAAAGUCUGACCGAGCAACGCCGCGUGAGGGAAGAAGGUUCUCGGAUCCGAAAGCUCGGGUGUAAGAGAAGAACGGAAGUGAGAGUGGAAAGUUCACACUGUGACGGUAUCUAACCAGAAAGGGACGGCUAACUACGUG